This 360-nucleotide ribosomal RNA is filed under the name Gryllidae gen. 2 sp. 1 JD-2021b. RNAcentral's name for it is "partial small subunit ribosomal RNA". Lineage: Eukaryota; Metazoa; Arthropoda; Insecta; Orthoptera; Gryllidae. The record is from RNAcentral.
UUAGUAAGAUCUUGAAACUCAAAGAAUUUGGCGGUGUUUUAGUCUUUUCAGAGGAAUCUGUCCUGUAAUUGAUAAUACACGAUUUGUUUUACUUGAUUUUGUUAUCAGUUUAUAUACCGCCGUCAUAAGAUUAUUUUUAUUUAAGAAUGAAUUUUCUUGCUUUUUUAUUAGAUGAUAUGUCAGGUCAAGGUGUAGCUUAUGGUUAAGUAGAGAUGGAUUACAAUAAUUUUAAUUAUUACGGAUUAUUAAUUUUAGUUUAAUUUGAAGGGGGAUUUGAUUGUAAAUUUAUUUUUAAUUUUUAUAUUGAUUAGGGCUCUAGAAUGUGUACAUAUCGCCCGUCGCUCUCGUUAUUAAGAUGAG